This 253-nucleotide ribosomal RNA is filed under the name uncultured bacterium. Its description in RNAcentral is "partial 16S ribosomal RNA". It matches the Rfam family "Bacterial small subunit ribosomal RNA", at positions 524 to 776 of the family's 1533-position model. The record is from RNAcentral.
UACAGAGGUGGCAAGCGUUGUUCGGAUUUAUUGGGCGUAAAGGGUCCGUAGGCGGUUCGGAAAGUUGGAUGUGAAAUCCUACAGCUUAACUGUAGAACUGCAUUCAAAACUUCCGGACUAGAGUGUGGAAGGGGUGAAGGGAAUUCCCGGUGUAAGGGUGAAAUCUGCAGAGAUCGGGAGGAACACCAGUCGCGAAGGCGCUUCACUGGUCCACUACUGACGCUCAGGGACGAAAGCAAGGGUAGCAAACGGG